Molecule: ribosomal RNA, 838 nt
Filed under: Pezicula neosporulosa
Lineage: Eukaryota; Fungi; Ascomycota; Leotiomycetes; Helotiales; Dermateaceae
Description: eukaryotic LSU rRNA
Rfam family: Eukaryotic large subunit ribosomal RNA
Source: RNAcentral
CCUCAGUAACGGCGAGUGAAGCGGUAACAGCUCAAAUUUGAAAUCUGGGUCUUUCAGGCUCCGAGUUGUAAUUUGUAGAAGAUGCUUUGGGUGCGGCCCCGGUCUAAGUUCCUUGGAACAGGACGUCAUAGAGGGUGAGAAUCCCGUAUGUGAUCGGUGGCUUGCGCCCGUGUAAAGCUCUUUCGACGAGUCGGGUUGUUUGGGAAUGCAGCUCUAAAUGGGUGGUAAAUUUCAUCUAAAGCUAAAUAUUGGCCAGAGACCGAUAGCGCACAAGUAGAGUGAUCGAAAGAUGAAAAGGACUUUGGAAAGAGAGUUAAACAGUACGUGAAAUUGUUGAAAGGGAAGCGCUUGCAACCAGACUUGCGCGGGGUUGAUCAUCCGGGGUUCUCCCCGGUGCACUCGGCCUCGCUCAGGCCAGCAUCGGUUUCGGUGGUUGGAUAAAGGCCUUGGGAAUGUGACUUCUUUCGGGGAGUGUUAUAGCCCUCGGUGCAAUGCAGCCUACCGGGACCGAGGACCGCGCUUCGGCUAGGAUGCUGGCGUAAUGGUUGUAAGCGACCCGUCUUGAAACACGGACCAAGGAGUCUAACAUCUAUGCGAGUGUUUGGGUGUCAAACCCAUACGCGUAAUGAAAGUGAACGGAGGUGAGAACCCUUAAGGGUGCAUCAUCGACCGAUCCUGAUGUCUUCGGAUGGAUUUGAGUAAGAGCAUAGCUGUUGGGACCCGAAAGAUGGUGAACUAUGCCUGAAUAGGGUGAAGCCAGAGGAAACUCUGGUGGAGGCUCGCAGCGGUUCUGACGUGCAAAUCGAUCGUCAAAUUUGGGCAUAGGGGCGAAAGACUA